RNAcentral lists this long non-coding RNA (468 nucleotides) under Mytilus galloprovincialis (Mediterranean mussel). Lineage: Eukaryota; Metazoa; Mollusca; Bivalvia; Mytilida; Mytilidae. The record is from RNAcentral.
AAUCUCAGAGUUGUUAGAAUAAUUCUUUCUCAAAUGUAUAGUAUACACUUGUACAUGUAUGUCUUAUAGGACUCUCAAACAAGUAAACGUACAUGUAGUUAUAAAUAAAAAUAGGUUUUAUUUUAUAUAUAUCUUAAAUGUAUUGCAUUUGUGUUUUAUAAAUGAAUCCUCUUUAAAAUUCAGGCCAGUAUUCUAUAUUACCAAGUAUUGCCCAGUAUUACCCAGUAAAACCCGGGUUUUCCCAGUAUUUCCCACUGGGCUGGGCAAUACUCAUAAAACCUGGGUUUUUUCCAACCCUGAAUUGGGAGGUCCCAAAAAUCACAAAUGUACAUGUAAAAAAUUAAAACAAGAAAACUAAUGGCUGAAUUAAUAAACAAAAAAAUGAACAAAAAACAAAUAUCAUUAUGUAACAAACAAAGCAACAAAGAAGAACCACUGAAUUACAGGCUCCUGACCUGGGACUGGCAC